Octopus bimaculoides (California two-spot octopus) is the source of this 662-nucleotide long non-coding RNA. Lineage: Eukaryota; Metazoa; Mollusca; Cephalopoda; Octopoda; Octopodidae. The record is from RefSeq and is a predicted model, not a curated record.
UUUUGCCGUAAUCACUUUGUUUUGUUUUACAAUUUGUUUUUCAUUUUCUAUAUUUCUAUGAAAAUUUACAAUUCCAUUACUUCUAAAUUAAGACUGAAAUCUGUUUGACAUCUACCGUCAUGCGGGCAGUGAUUUCUAAUUAUUUAGUUACUACUCCCAAGAAGAAAUGGUAAAUGCAUAAUCUCUACUACUUAUAGUUGAAGCUCCUACAUUCAACUUCACUAUGUUGCCUAACCUCCCCUUUAUUUCAUCUCAUAAUGGUAUAUUCCUCUCAUUCAUUUGUUCAUGGUAUGUUAUAGCUAACUCUCUUUUAAGUUGACAAUUCUAACUGGAGCUAUGAUAUGACAUAGGCUCUACCAAAUACAUUCUUUUUGAUUUGGAUCUGGGCUCUUACAUAUACAUUCAAAUCUGGUUAGAGUCUCUAAAAAUUAUAAUAUGUUCUAAUUAGGAUGGUUUUCAUCAGAAGUGACUGGCAAAUGAUAAAUAGGAAAUACUGCUGGUAGAAAUGAAUAGCGAGAUUGAUCUUCCAAAUGGAGCUAAAAAUUACUUAUUUACUGCUGAGACUACUGGAGCUCAUGACAUGUGUUAAAAUAAGGCGGUCUGGCUUUAACGAUGCCAGUAACACUUCCAUUGAAGCCUUGGGGAUUCUUUCAUCCUGGUAA